Molecule: ribosomal RNA, 457 nt
Filed under: uncultured Thiobacillus sp.
Lineage: Bacteria; Pseudomonadati; Pseudomonadota; Betaproteobacteria; Nitrosomonadales; Thiobacillaceae
Description: bacterial SSU rRNA
Rfam family: Bacterial small subunit ribosomal RNA
Source: RNAcentral
AGGCAGCAGUGGGGAAUUUUGGACAAUGGGGGCAACCCUGAUCCAGCCAUUCCGCGUGAGUGAAGAAGGCCUUCGGGUUGUAAAGCUCUUUCAGCUGGAAAGAAACGGUACGCACUAACAUAGCGUGCUAAUGACGGUACCGGCAGAAGAAGCACCGGCUAACUACGUGCCAGCAGCCGCGGUAAUACGUAGGGUGCGAGCGUUAAUCGGAAUUACUGGGCGUAAAGCGUGCGCAGGCGGAUUGUUAAGCAAGAUGUGAAAUCCCCGGGCUUAACCUGGGAAUGGCAUUUUGAACUGGCAGUCUAGAGUGUGUCAGAGGGGGGUGGAAUUCCACGUGUAGCAGUGAAAUGCGUAGAGAUGUGGAGGAACACCGAUGGCGAAGGCAGCCCCCUGGGAUAACACUGACGCUCAUGUACGAAAGCGUGGGUAGCAAACAGGAUUAGAUACCCCGGUAGUC